UAGCUUUCAAAAAAAAAAAAAAACCUAACGCUUUUCACAUCAAACUCACUAAAAUAUGAGGCCAUAAUGGCAAUAUUUCCCCAGGAAAGCUUUCUAUCCUCCCCAUUAGACUGCGGCUUUGGUAGAUGCAUUUUCCAUUCAAGCCAACAAUCGUUUUCGUUUCAAACUUGGCUACUCACCUAUCCAAUUACUUGGAAAAUUUCCCACCUCAAUAAUUACCUGAACAUCCACCUGAUCCACAGCCUUCUCCCAUCUACCAGCAAGUGAUGCAUGAGACAUUUGUGUUUGCUUCUAAUGAACACGAGUGACAUAAACUUUCCAAAAGAUUAUAAAAGGGCUUGGAAAGCAGUGCAAGAUAUAGCAUUGGAUAUGAAGUUGGCAAAAAGGCAGGCAGCAGACAACAAGAGGAACACUGUGAGCUCCAGAAACACCCCUGCUGGAUCAGAUGAACAGGAGUCGAGAUAGUUUCUCUGUGCAUCACAUGGUCUGGCCUUGGGGUGACUUUGUUGGAACGCGUCUCAUGGGAAGGUUGAGGCAUUGUGUUGACACCCAGCUGAAUGUUUCAGACCAGCAAACUGCCAAAACUUCUGCUUGUGUACUCCUGUUUUUCAUACAACUUUCUCAACUUGUAAAGAGUUAAAAUGAUGUUGUUCCUAUUCACUUAUUACUUCAGUUUGAUGGUGUUCACUACAGCGGGUCGAACAGUGCUUUUAAUAAAAACUAACAGCACUUCUUCAUUGAAAUGAAGUCAUUGAAAUGACUUGGAUAGCAGUUACCACAGCAGCAAUUGAAACACAAAUCGAGGCCAGCAUGGAGGACUGAAUGUGUCCCUCAGUGACUGAAUGGCAGAAUGUAAUCUUUGUAUUAGCACUUGCUGUAACCCAUUUAAAUGGUACACUGUGUAAGCGCAACACACAUCAGCUGUACAGUAUAGUACAUAUCAAAAUAUUGUCUUAUUGUGAGAAACACUUGAGUUAACAAGGUGAAAGCGAAGGUCUAAGAUCUUGGAGUGUGUUUCUUUCACUGAUUAUUAAAUCGAUUAUGAUGAAGUGAGACAAAGAAAAAACACACCAUAAACUGCAAGGUUGAAAAUUUUAAUUCUUGCAAAGUUUUUUUCCUAAAAUGGGAGCAGGUUUGUUUUUUUAAAUCAUAGUUGAAAACAUACAGAGAAAAGUUUGGCAACUCAGAACAGGAACAAAUGAGUGACUCAAUGAAGAGGAAAUAAUACACUGACAUUUACAACAGAAUACAGUACAAGUUGUUGAAAAUAUCCAUCAACAAGAAGAAAAAAAGUGUCACAGCUGCAGCAGUUUACUGCCAUCGUGAUCAAAGCUGUAUUUGUCAAAUUUGAAAAAUUUCAUAUUGGAGAGGAAGAAAAAACAUUAGAGAAAAAAGUAAAACUCUAUGCAGAGGUAGAGCUCAGUGCACAAGGCUAUGACAGACACACACACACACACACACACACACAC
Molecule: long non-coding RNA, 1469 nt
Organism: Oreochromis niloticus (Nile tilapia)
Lineage: Eukaryota; Metazoa; Chordata; Actinopteri; Cichliformes; Cichlidae
Exons: 3
Source: RefSeq, a predicted model, not a curated record